This 101-nucleotide small RNA is filed under the name Escherichia coli. RNAcentral describes it as "partial RtT sRNA". It matches the Rfam family "RtT RNA", at positions 1 to 99 of the family's 130-position model. Rfam says of the family: This family represents a bacterial cis-regulatory element known as RtT RNA. The exact function of RtT is unknown although it is thought that it may be involved in changing the cellular response in relation to amino acid starvation. Lineage: Bacteria; Pseudomonadati; Pseudomonadota; Gammaproteobacteria; Enterobacterales; Enterobacteriaceae. The record is from RNAcentral.
AUUCUGCCCAAGCGGAGAAGGAUGAGAAGCUUCGACUAAGGUUCGACUCGAGCGCCAGCGAGAGAGCGUUGCCGCAGGCAACGACCUGAAGGGCGAAGCGC